GCUGGCGGCAGGCUUAACACAUGCAAGUCGAGCGGGGAGAGGUGCUUCGGUACUGAUCCUAGCGGCGGACGGGUGAGUAAUGCUUAGGAAUCUGCCAUUUAGUGGGGGACAACAUUCCGAAAGGAAUGCUAAUACCGCAUACGUCCUACGGGAGAAAGCAGGGGAUCUUCGGACCUUGCGCUAAAUGAUGAGCCUAAGUCGGAUUAGCUAGUUGGUGGGGUAAAGGCCUACCAAGGCGACGAUCUGUAGCGGGUCUGAGAGGAUGAUCCGCCACACUGGGACUGAGACGCGGCCCAGACUCCUACGGGAGGCAGCAGUGGGGAAUAUUGGACAAUGGGCGGAAGCCUGAUCCAGCCAUGCCGCGUGUGUGAAGAAGGCCUUUUGGUUGUAAAGCACUUUAAGCGAGGAGGAGGCUACCUGGAUUAAUACUCUGGGAUAGUGGACGUUACUCGCAGAAUAAGCACCGGCUAACUCUGUGCCAGCAGCCGCGGUAAUACAGAGGGUGCGAGCGUUAAUCGGAUUUACUGGGCGUAAGGCGUGCGUAGGCGGCUUUUUAAGUCGGAUGUGAAAUCCCCGAGCUUAACUUGGGAAUUGCAUUCGAUACUGGGAAGCUAGAGUAUGGGAGAGGAUGGUAGAAUUCCAGGUGUAGCGGUGAAAUGCGUAGAGAUCUGGAGGAAUACCGAUGGCGAAGGCAGCCAUCUGGCCUAAUACUGACGCUGAGGUACGAAAGCAUGGGGAGCAAACAGGAUUAGAUACCCUGGUAGUCCAUGCCGUAAACGAUGUCUACUAGCCGUUGGGGCCUUUGAGGCUUUAGUGGCGCAGCUAACGCGAUAAGUAGACCGCCUGGGGAGUACGGUCCCAAGACUAAAACUCAAAUGAAUUGACGG
This 887-nucleotide ribosomal RNA is filed under the name uncultured Acinetobacter sp. RNAcentral's name for it is "bacterial SSU rRNA". It matches the Rfam family "Bacterial small subunit ribosomal RNA", at positions 35 to 916 of the family's 1533-position model. The record is from RNAcentral. Lineage: Bacteria; Pseudomonadati; Pseudomonadota; Gammaproteobacteria; Moraxellales; Moraxellaceae.